AUACGGAGGGUGCAAGCGUUAUUCGGAAUCACUGGGCGUAAAGGACGCGUAGGCGGGUUGGCAAGUCAGAUGUGAAAUCCUACAGCUUAACUGUAGAACUGCAUUUGAAACUGCUAACCUAGAGUAUGGGAGGGGGAGAUGGGAUUAGUGGUGUAGGGGUAAAAUCCGUAGAUAUCACUAGGAAUACCGAAAGCGAAGGCGAUCUCCUGGAACAUAACUGACGCUAAGGCGUGAAAGCGUGGGGAGCAAACAGGAUUAGAUACCCUUGUAGUCC
This 274-nucleotide ribosomal RNA is filed under the name uncultured bacterium. RNAcentral describes it as "partial 16S ribosomal RNA". It matches the Rfam family "Bacterial small subunit ribosomal RNA", at positions 523 to 796 of the family's 1533-position model. The record is from RNAcentral.